Molecule: ribosomal RNA, 405 nt
Filed under: uncultured bacterium
Lineage: Bacteria
Description: partial 16S ribosomal RNA
Rfam family: Bacterial small subunit ribosomal RNA
Source: RNAcentral
AUUGAACGCUAGCGGGAUGCUUUACACAUGCAAGUCGAACGAGUGGCGGACGGGUGAGUAAUAAAUCGGAACGUGCCCAGUAGCGGGGGAUAACUACUCGAAAGAGUGGCUAAUACCGCAUACUAUUGCAGCGGCCGAUAUGGGAUUAGCUAGUUGGUGGGGUAAAGGCUACCCAAGGCCACGAUCCGUAGCUGGUGUGAGAGGACGACCAGCCACACUGGGACUGAGACACGGCCCAGACUCCUACGGGAGGCAGCAGUGGGGAAUUUUGGACAAUGGGCGAAACCCUGAUCCAGCCAUGCCGCGUGUAUGAGAAGGCCUUCGGGUUGUAAAGUACUUUUAGCAGGGAAGCGGUAUCUGCAGAAUAAGCACCGGCUAACUACGUGCCAGCAGCCGCGGUAAUUC